AUUGAACGCUGGCGGAAUGCUUUACACAUGCAAGUCGAACGGCAGCACGGGUGCUUGCACCUGGUGGCGAGUGGCGAACGGGUGAGUAAUGCACCGGAACGUAUCCAAUAAUGGGGGAUAACGCACCGAAAGGUGUGCUAAUACCGCAUACGCCCUGAGGGGGAAAGCGGGGGAUCGUAAGACCUCGCGUUAAUGGAGCGGCCGAUGCCGGAUUAGCUAGUUGGUGAGGUAAAGGCUCACCAAGGCGACGAUCCGUAGCGGGUCUGAGAGGAUGAUCCGCCACACUGGAACUGAGACACGGUCCAGACUCCUACGGGAGGCAGCAGUGGGGAAUUUUGGACAAUGGGGGGCAACCCUGAUCCAGCCAUGCCGCGUGAGUGAAGAAGGCCU
RNAcentral lists this ribosomal RNA (390 nucleotides) under uncultured bacterium. RNAcentral describes it as "bacterial SSU rRNA". It matches the Rfam family "Bacterial small subunit ribosomal RNA", at positions 29 to 417 of the family's 1533-position model. The record is from RNAcentral.